CCAGGCAGGAGUACUGGAGUGGGGUGCCAUUGCCUUCUCCGCUAGAAGCUGGCAAAGCUGGAUUCCUAACCAGGAGUUGGGGAGCCCUGAGCCUCAAGAAGUUACCAUCCCUGAUGACAUUGUGUUUUUAGCCCAGCAAAGCUGAUUUUGGACUUAGUAGAAGUAAAAAUCAGACUGAGCAUUUGUCCUAAGACAGAAAUGGUAUGGACCUAACAGAAGCAGGAGAUGUUAAGAAGAGAUGGCAACAAUACACAGAAGAACUAUUCUAAAAAGAUCUUCAUGACCCAGAUAACCACAAUGGUGUGAUCACUCAC
Molecule: long non-coding RNA, 314 nt
Organism: Bubalus bubalis (water buffalo)
Lineage: Eukaryota; Metazoa; Chordata; Mammalia; Artiodactyla; Bovidae
Exons: 3
Source: RefSeq, a predicted model, not a curated record